RNAcentral lists this long non-coding RNA (1302 nucleotides) under Homo sapiens (human). RNAcentral's name for it is "HSALNT0382872". The record is from RNAcentral. Lineage: Eukaryota; Metazoa; Chordata; Mammalia; Primates; Hominidae.
AGGCAGUAGUGGCAAACCGGCUGGAGUUCCGUUUUGCGAUGUGGUUUCGUUCUUCUUUCGCUCUUUGUAAUAAAUCUUGCUACUGCUCACUGUUUGGGUCUACACUGCCUUUAUGAGCUGUGACACUCCCCAGGAAGGCCUGCAGCUUCACUCCUGAAACCAGCGGGACCACGAACCCAUCAGAAGGAAGAAACUCCAAACACAUCCCAAUAUCAGAAGGAACAAACUCCAGACACGCCGCUUUUAAGAACUGUAACACUCACCGCGAGGGUCUGCAGCUUCAUUGUUGAAGUCCGUGAGACUAAGAAUCCUCCAAUUCCGGGCACAGGAUUAUGCUGCAGUAACAAACAACCCAAGUCCCAGGAGCUUAAAACAAGAGUUUAUUUUUCACCAAAAUUAUCUAUUUAAUAAUGCAGGUUGGCAAGAUGGAGACUAGGGGAGGGUUCAGCUAGUUGUAUUUUUUCAGGGAUCCAGGGUGAUGGAAGUUUCUUCUCAACUUUUGUCUUCAGGAUCAUCUGUGGUAGUGGAUCAGAGCAUUCAAUGAUCUUCCACCACAAGUUAAAUGCUCUGGUCUAAGCUAGCACACAUGACUUCCACCCACAACUCUUCAGGUAGCACUGAUUCCAUGUCCUUGCCCAACUACAGGGUGGAGGAGGCAGAGAAGUACAAUCCACCCAGGAGCUUGGGAGGAAAGGAGAAUAGCCUCUGAAUCAUAGAAGACUCCAUGGCAGCUGCUUUUGUCUCCCUUUGUCACUGCCACGCCUCCUCUUCCUCCAUAAAUAGACAUUCCAGUGCUUUUGAUCCUCUAGAGCUCUGCCUUUUUGUUAUUAUUGUUGCUAUUACUUGAUCUACCAGUUUUUGAGAAGAGUGAAUUAAAAUCCUCACUGCAGGCCAGCCACGGUGGCUCACGCCUGUAAUCCCAGCACUUUGGGAGGCCGAGACCGGCGGAUCACCUGAAGUCGGGGGUUUGAGACCAGCCUGGCCAACAUGGUGAAAACGCAAAUCUACAAAAAUAUAAAAAUUAGCCGGGCAUGAUGGUGGGUGCCUGUAAUCCCAGCUACUUGGGAGGCUGAGGCAUGAGUAUUGCUUCAACCCAGGAGGUGGAGGUUGCAGUGAGCCAAGAUCAUGUCAUUGCACUCCAGCCUGGGCAACAGAGUGAGACUCCCUCUCCAAAAAUAAAAAUAAAAAGAAUAAAAUAAUAAAAUAAAAUCCUCAAUGCAAUUGAUUUACCUAUUUCUCCCCAGUUGGUCAGUACUGCUUUAUAUAUUUAGGUGGUAUUGUUAGCCAAAUAUAUAGUCCUUU